AGCCUUCUGAAAAAAACCUCCAAAUAGUGCCCACAUUGCUCCAUUUACACGUAAUCUGACGUGCAUAUUAACCAAGCUACAGUGACACUGUUAUUGUUAUUAUUAACAUUGUUACGCCAGUCGAACUACGUCACUGGUGUAUUGACACCUUACCACACCAGCUAGCUACUAGCCGGCUAGCGGCUAGCUUCACCACACGCUCGCUCACAGCGCAUUAGCGCAGCGCUCACAAAAAAGUACAUUGAGUGAGUGAAGAUUGCUUUUAUAAUGAUCAGCCCAUAUCUCUGUUACGCUCUACUGUGACACAGACGCAGACACCUGAGCUGGGCGGAGCUACUGGACUCCUGCAGCUGUUCCCCAUUAGCACCCUUUAUUAUCCUCUCAGCUGCUCCUGGCCAGUGCUGUAUUAUUCUUCCUAUUUGCUCCUUCUACCGCAUGUUUGUUCUUUGUUCUGGACUCACCUCUGUUCAGGUGCUUCAGCUGCCGUCCUGCGGCCCAGUAGCCCGUCCAGCUCCUACAGUGGAACCUGCAGAAGAUAGUUUUGUGUCUCUGGUGUCGCCUUCAGUUCUUGUUUUUUCUCCUCUGUUUGGACUCAUGAUGCUCUCACUGCUGGAACUCUCCUGUGUCUGCGUCCUGGGAUUCAUCCACAUCCCCGGCAUGACAAUCUCCGCAAUAAGUUAGAUAUGGUUCCUUCACUCCCUGAGUGGGCGGCAUCACAAGGCACACCUGCAGCCACUCUGCCAUUGAGAGCUCUUAAGACACCUGGCUGCAGGAAGAGGACGUGGGAUUGUUACUACUGGUCUGCAUGCUGCCUGUGAAGCGCCACUUCAUUUGCCUCUGGCGCUGCAUUUUGGGAUCUCCACCUGACUAUAUACUGCAGAACUCUCAUAAAUAUCAGCAAGACACGCUGUCUGUGGAGGGCCUACAGAGGUAUUAUACAUCAACACACACAUGCCUCGCUCAUAAUUUACACAUUUAUAUUCACAAACCUGAUUUCGUAUUUAAAAUAUGACUCGUAAAGUGUGAUAUAUGGAAAUGGACAGAUCACAUGUGAUUCCUGAAUGAAUCAAGUGCUUUAGUGUCCCUCUGCUCUCCUGUGAGAGGAGAGAGCCUUGACCAUGCAGGUAAUUUACAGUGUUAUGAGAUGAGUGCAAAACAUGCUGUAAAUAAAUAAGAGCCUACCAAUUUCAUUUUAGGACAGGGGGAGGUUAGACACACCCCCACCCACCCAAGCACCCACUUCCCCUGCAUACCGCUGCCCUUUUGAAAAGUGCGGUGUCCCUUGGCUGGGUGCAUGUGUGUGUAUAUCAUCUGCAGAGGAGGCGAGCACAAAUGGGGCAGCAAGCGACACUAUGCAGUCCAUUUGCUAAUUUCAAUAUAGUGUCCGUCUGCGCGGGUUUGGCCUUGGGCACAGGCGCAGCCGCCACGCCAACCACCCCCCACCCCUCUCUCGUUGUUCACCGCUCCCCAGUUGCCAACCCUGGUGUCCCUUUGACCUUGCUCUCAAUCACAAACACACAUGCACUCCUAUUGAGUCCAUAGGAAAGCGUACACAAAUCACUUUCAGUAUGCACCCCUGCUCCCUUUCACGGUGUUUACUUAUAUGGACAUUUCCACUGUACAUUUUAUAUAAGGCAGUCAAACACGUGUAUUUUAUGUUCCUCGUUUAAUUUUGUGUUUAAUAUCAGUCUCAUAGAAGACCUGAAAUGCAAAGUAUUGAAUCGUCAUUAACACCAGAGUGCAGCGUCACCGUUGUCUUUAGCCCCUUGAAUACAGAGAUGCAUUAGAGCCGUAACCUAAGGUCCAACAAUAAGCCACCUUUGCUUUUUACACAAAACCCACCUGAAUGUGAGAGCACAGUGCCUUGGCAUAUUGCAAUAAGAUAUGCAAAAUUACGUUUGGCAUGACAUCUACUGUACUUGUACAUACUUUCAUCACAACAGGGCAGGAAAAUGUUGUGUCAAGUUUGAAACUCCCCCCCAAAAAAUCCCAUCUUUUGCAGGCAGUGUGCCUUCCUUAGUAAAACUUUCCCCCCUUUUUCCAGAUUGUUGUUUUGUAUAAACGGCACAGACACGGAAUAUUCCUUCCGAGGCAGGCGGAGCUGGAACAAAGGUAAUGCUGUAAUUCGUACUGCACUGUUGUGUUGACAACAAUUGUGGCUGUCCAACAAGUUCCGUAUUGACAUGAAAGCAAGGCAACCAUGACUAUAAAACGACGAUUCUCUUUGGACAAAUAUUAUUAAGGCAAACCGAUGAGUAAAUGUUUUCAAUAUCAGUGAAAUAACAAGUAGUAAAUUACAAUUUAAAAAAUGAUAUACGGUCGUCCCUCGCCACAUCGCGCUUCGAAUUUCGCGGCUUCACUCUAACAGAGUUUUUCAAAAUAUAUGAAUGAACAAAUCAUCACUUUUUGUGGUUGACUCACGUUUCUAAUAUUAGUCAAAACAUGAAUGUUUAUGUAAAUUCUAUGUAUUUUUUGCCUAAAUUAAGCAUUUUGGAACAUCAAAAAUAUUAAAUGAACUAAAAUGCAAAUAUAAGACAUUCACAAAACACAUUGAAAGACACGCUGAUUCUACACUGGUCAGUAAUGUUACAUUUGGUCGGCUCUGGAACCAAUUGACUGCAAUAAACGAGGGGUUACUGUAUUUCUUAGCUCGUCAACAAUGACUCUCUUUCACUGAUCACCAUUAUCUUAAACUUUGCGUCAUACCCCCUCCUCUGUUGUUUGCUAUUACUUGUUCAGCCUUUCAGACACUUUUUUGUCAUCUCUUCAGGUCACUGGUGGGUUCUAGACCACAAAAAACAGCCCUUAAUCACUUGAAGAGACGUUGUUUGGUGUCAUCUGUUGGUUAGUGUGUAUAAAUCUUUACACCCCAAAUAUAAGACGACCUAUCUUUUUGACGUUUUUCUAGGCAAAAAAUAAUCUGAUAUUCAAUAUGCACACGUAAUUAUCUGACUGUGGGGUGCUGCACACAUAGAUGCGUCAAUGCCCGCUGGGUUCUGUGUGAAAGGCACAGGCGGACAAACACCAGCUGUACUGUCUGAUUUGUUUUGCUCUGUCAAAAAAAAAAAAAAAAGCACAAGCUAACAUAUUGGCAUCCCUGUUAGGACACUUUUGUGCAGAAUUAAGAGUGUCAGUGAGCAUGUCCGGGGAUAGAUUCUUCUAGAAAUCCCAAUAAGUGCAGCCUGUGUGUGCAUCUGUGUGUGCGGCUUGUUACUAGACAAGGAGAUCCACUGCAAAUGUCACUUUGAAUUGACGUGAUUUGCUCAAUAACGCUCUACGCUGAUGUGGCAAUGAUCAUUCCCCAGCUGCACACUGCAAUAGCAAAUCGAGUGUGUUUUCAUGCUAAUACUGCUCUCUUUUGCCAGCCAUCCACCUUCACACGGCGCCACUUUGGAGAAGCCAUAAACCGAAUGAAAUCAUGUGAAAUGUCUGUUGUUUUUUUUAUGAAAUAACAGUGUCAUUGUAAUGUCCUGAGCAGGCUGCUGUUUCUUUUUUUUUUUUUUUUUUACUGGCCCAUGAAUCGUGAUUAAAACAUCUCCCAUGAAAUGUUUUACAGUUGUUGCACAUUGUGUCUUUUUCCCCACCGCCGUGCCUCUCACCCGCCACACAUUCUCUCCCAUGUGUGUGCUCAUCUGUGGGACAAGGUGUUGAACAGAAGCAGAGGGAAUAUCCCACAAUCCUCUGUGCAUUAUUGUAAUUAGAUUUCCCAGGAUAGCUCAAUUAAGUCAUCCUGCUCCAGGGACCUGCCAGUUUGUGGUUUUCUCACUGGGGCGUCCGCUGUGUUAAGUAAGGCAGAGAAACUCAAAUGGACCUUAAGAAGUUC
Dunckerocampus dactyliophorus (ringed pipefish) is the source of this 3823-nucleotide long non-coding RNA. RefSeq lists it as uncharacterized. The record is from RefSeq and is a predicted model, not a curated record. NCBI's taxonomy places the organism in Eukaryota, Metazoa, Chordata, Actinopteri, Syngnathiformes, Syngnathidae. The transcript is spliced from 5 exons.